RNAcentral lists this long non-coding RNA (392 nucleotides) under Gossypium barbadense (sea-island cotton). RNAcentral describes it as "long non-coding RNA (GBAR_LNC009617)". Lineage: Eukaryota; Viridiplantae; Streptophyta; Magnoliopsida; Malvales; Malvaceae. The record is from RNAcentral.
GGUCGGACCAUAUUUUCGGAUCGUCGCCGAUUCCCGGCAGGUAAAUCUCCAGGUUCGCAUCCAUCGGGAUGUCGUAUCCCCCCAAUGUUGCUGCCUCCUCAGUAGCUGCGUGUGUGAGCGAAAAGUACGUCGGUGGGUGCCUACGUAAGAGCUCUUUCACUACUGCUUGCAAGUACUUGAGCUUUUCGAUAUCUGUUUCGUCUACUUUUCGAUCCCCGACCGUGGAUUUGAUUUCGUCCAACAGUUUGGAUUGGAUGUCUGGGUUUUCAAUUAGCUGUGCGAUGCCCCACUCGAGUGCGGUUGCGGUGGUAUCGGUGCCGCCGUUGAGGAACUCAGAGCAGAGUGUGACCAGCUCGGAAUUGGACGGUGCUGAUUUUCUUCCUUCAACUUUG